Molecule: RNA transcript, 1003 nt
Organism: Panicum hallii
Lineage: Eukaryota; Viridiplantae; Streptophyta; Magnoliopsida; Poales; Poaceae
Gene name: 60S ribosomal protein L18a-like protein
Exons: 5
Source: RefSeq, a predicted model, not a curated record
AAACAUGGUAGAAAAUUACUCGAACACUGUGGAGACAUUCCCUAAUUCUAUUCUCCCCCCAUCUGGCGAUCCCCAUCAUCACCACGACCGCUGCACACGCUUCGCCUACCCUCUGGAUCCAUCCAUCUCCGCCUCUCCGGCUCCAAGCACGGCUGCGGCAGCGAUGCUGGAGGCCACCUGCCCCACCACCAAGAAGCUCCCGCCCCCAUCUCGAAUCCAACCCCCACCAGCUCCCGCCCCAAACCCUCUCCCCUACCAUCACCACCACUACGGCACCUUCCCCCCGCCGCCCGUCGAAGGGGCGGCCUACCACGCCUCCCAGAUCGGGUUCGGUAGCCAGGGCGUUGUGGCCUUCCCGGGCACAGUGCAGCAGCAGAUCUUCGUGGAGGGCGUCCCCGUCCAGGAGCCGCCCCUGCCCUUCUGCGGCAUCGGCAUCGGCUGGUUUCUGUUCUUAUUGGGGUUCUUCUUGGCUGCCAUUCCCUGGUAUGCUGGUGCUUUCCUUCUAUUCUUUGUUGCUCUGGACCACAGAGAGAAGCCUGGACUAAUUGCAUGCACCGUUGUUGAGGAUGUCACCAUGGUUUCGUCCUGAACAACUGUUCUCAUUGUGGACCCCUGAGAUUUGUGUGCUCCGAAUUAUUUGUACUAUUAACUUCGUCAGGUUAAUGGGCAUAUUUGCACUAGUCCCACUCAUUCUGAACGGUAUCAGAAUGCAUCCUUUCUGGUGAACAAUGCUGGAUGUCGCCAAUCAAAGUCAAUAUGUAGCUAACAUUCCUGGCCCCACAUUUGAUAUGUCCGUACGCCAUAGCUGUAUUGUAUUGCUCAUGCCUGUGUAGAACAAAAUAUAUGAGCUUACGUGAAAAAAAAAUCGUUAUGUUGUUUUUCAUGUGCAGGCUCACAUGUGUGUAAUCAUGAAUUGUACAGUUUAUCUAUAUGACUGGGCUCCAAUCUAACAGUUUGCCAGAGCAGGAGCAAGUAGUAUAUGCCUGUGCACCAUGGUGGUCGA